AGUGAACGCUGGCGGUAGGCCUAACACAUGCAAGUCGAACGGCAGCACAGUAAGAGCUUGCUCUUACGGGUGGCGAGUGGCGGACGGGUGAGGAAUACAUCGGAAUCUACUUUUUCGUGGGGGUUAACGUAGGGAAACUUACGCUAAUACCGCAUACGACCUACGGGUGAAAGCAGGGGAUCUUCGGACCUUGCGCGGUUGAAUGAGCCGAUGUCGGAUUAGCUAGUUGGCGGGGUAAAGGCCCACCAAGGCGACGAUCCGUAGCUGGUCUGAGAGGAUGGUCAGCCACACUGGAACUGAGACACGGUCCAGACUCCUACGGGAGGCAGCAGUGGGGAAUAUUGGACAAUGGGCGCAAGCCUGAUCCAGCCAGACCGCGUGGGUGAAGAAGGCCUUCGGGUUGUAAAGCCCUUUUGUUGGGAAAGAAAAGCAGCAGGUUAAUACCCCGCUGUUCUGACGGUACCCAAAGAAUAAGCACCGGCUAACUUCGUG
RNAcentral lists this ribosomal RNA (492 nucleotides) under uncultured bacterium. Its description in RNAcentral is "partial 16S ribosomal RNA". It matches the Rfam family "Bacterial small subunit ribosomal RNA", at positions 29 to 507 of the family's 1533-position model. The record is from RNAcentral.